AAGACUAUACUUUCAGGGAUCAUUUCUAUAGUUCGUUACUAAAAAAUGUGGACUAAAACAUUAGGGCACGUCAGUGAAGCGAGGCCUUGCAGGACUUUGGUCUGCUUCGCUGACUGA
Molecule: small nucleolar RNA, 117 nt
Filed under: Suricata suricatta (meerkat)
Lineage: Eukaryota; Metazoa; Chordata; Mammalia; Carnivora; Herpestidae
Description: Small nucleolar RNA U3 (ENSSSUG00005017118.1)
Rfam family: Small nucleolar RNA U3
About the family: Small nucleolar RNAs (snoRNAs) are involved in the processing and modification of rRNA in the nucleolus. There are two main classes of snoRNAs: the box C/D class, and the box H/ACA class.
Source: Rfam by way of RNAcentral